This 456-nucleotide ribosomal RNA is filed under the name uncultured bacterium. RNAcentral's name for it is "bacterial SSU rRNA". It matches the Rfam family "Bacterial small subunit ribosomal RNA", at positions 28 to 501 of the family's 1533-position model. The record is from RNAcentral.
GACGAACGCUGGCGGCGUGCUUAACACAUGCAAGUCGAGCGAGGCCCUUCCUUCGGGAAGGUGCCCUAGCGGCGAACGGGUGAGUAACACGUGGGCAAUCUGCCCCUAGCACUGGGAUAACUCCGGGAAACCGGGGCUAAUACCGGAUAUGACCUCUGAGGGCAUCCUCUGGAGGUGGAAAGGAUUCUGGCUAGGGAUGAGCCCGCGGCCUAUCAGCUUGUUGGUGGGGUAAGGCCUACCAAGGCGACGACGGGUAGCCGGCCUGAGAGGGCGACCGGCCACACUGGGACUGAGACACGGCCCAGACUCCUACGGGAGGCAGCAGUGGGGAAUACUGCACAAUGGGCGAAAGCCUGAUGCAGCGACGCCGCGUGAGCGAUGAAGCCCUUCGGGGGUGUAAAGCUCUUUCGGCAGGAACGAUAAUAGACGGUACCUGAAGAAGAAGCUGCGGUUAAC